This is a long non-coding RNA of Leguminivora glycinivorella, 185 nucleotides long. RefSeq lists it as uncharacterized. The transcript is spliced from 3 exons. NCBI's taxonomy places the organism in Eukaryota, Metazoa, Arthropoda, Insecta, Lepidoptera, Tortricidae. The record is from RefSeq and is a predicted model, not a curated record.
UGAGAUAUUCGAUAGAAUCGAGUUGUGCCUAAGAGGCCACAGUACUGGCUGUUGAAGGAAUACUGUCAUAUUUUGUAUUUGGUAUAGCAACCGAUUCUUUGAUAUGUUUGUUUACGUUUUGUAAGUCAGUCGGUCAAUAACAGUUCUCAUUGGUUCUCAUGUAAACACUGAAUAAAUUCCUGGUG